This 440-nucleotide ribosomal RNA is filed under the name uncultured bacterium. RNAcentral's name for it is "partial 16S ribosomal RNA". It matches the Rfam family "Bacterial small subunit ribosomal RNA", at positions 338 to 795 of the family's 1533-position model. The record is from RNAcentral.
CCUACGGGAGGCAGCAGUAGGGAAUAUUGCUCAAUGGGGGAAACCCUGAAGCAGCAACGCCGCGUGGAGGAUGAAGGUUUUCGGAUUGUAAACUCCUUUUGUUAGAGAAGAUAAUGACGGUAUCUAACGAAUAAGCACCGGCUAACUCCGUGCCAGCAGCCGCGGUAAUACGGAGGGUGCAAGCGUUACUCGGAAUCACUGGGCGUAAAGAGCGCGUAGGCAGGAUAGCAAGUCAGAUGUGAAAUCCUAUGGGUUAACCAUAGAACUGCAUUUGAAACUGUUAUUCUAGAGUAUGGGAGAGGUAGGUGGAAGUAUAGGUGUAGGAGUAAAAUCCGUAGAGAUAAAGAGGAAUACUCAGUGCGAAGGCGACCUGCUAGAACAUAACUGACGCUGAUGCGCGACAGCGUGGGGAGCAAACAGGAUUAGAUACCCGGGUAGUC